Molecule: long non-coding RNA, 591 nt
Filed under: Homo sapiens (human)
Lineage: Eukaryota; Metazoa; Chordata; Mammalia; Primates; Hominidae
Description: HSALNT0167793
Source: RNAcentral
CGGGGUUUUUUAGUUUUUACAUUGUAAAUUGUGCAGCAUAGUUGUGUAUUGAGUCACAAGGGUGCAGUACACAUGGAAAAAGUGAUGAUGUUAGAGAAACCAAAAGUAAUAGUAGGAAGUCCUAGAGAAAACAAGCAGCAAUGGGGCUUAGAGCCUGAGUGUAAUAUCCAGUUAGUAACAGGGACAGGGAUGUCACAAUAGCAGUGAGAAAGAAUGCUGAGAAUGUGAGUCCAGUUGCAUGCAAGUUGGUAGAUUCGAUGGUGGAAGAGAAUUUUUCUUACUUCCGUGAGUUUUUCACUGAGAGUAAAGGUGGUCUGGAGAGAAUGUGGAAUUUGAAAGAAGAACUAAAAUAUCCUUAAGGCAUGAAAGUUUAUCCUUUCACCAGAGACUACAAUUAAUAUUUCAAGGCUGAAUUAGAUCUGCUCACCUAAAAUGGAACAGAAGGCCGCAAGGAAAACAUUGUCAGGAGAAGGGUGAUCUCUGCACAAACUGGCUCCCCUUCGCCUUCCACCAAGAGUGGAAGCAGCCUGAGACACCCAGUCUUCUAACCAGCAGAUCAUGAGCCAAAUAAACCUUUUUUCUUGACAAAUU